CAGAGAAUAGUUUAUAAAAAUAUUAGUUUUGGGAAUUAAAGAUGAAGGACUUAUUCCUUUUUCUCUGA
This 68-nucleotide transfer RNA is filed under the name Portunus sanguinolentus (three spot swimming crab). RNAcentral's name for it is "tRNA-Pro". It matches the Rfam family "tRNA". Rfam says of the family: Transfer RNA (tRNA) molecules are approximately 80 nucleotides in length. Their secondary structure includes four short double-helical elements and three loops (D, anti-codon, and T loops). The record is from RNAcentral. Lineage: Eukaryota; Metazoa; Arthropoda; Malacostraca; Decapoda; Portunidae.